GUAACCUGCCCAGAAGUAGGGGAUAACACCUGGAAACAGAUGCUAAUACCGUAUAACAGAGAAAACCGCAUGGUUUUCUUUUAAAAGAUGGCUCUGCUAUCACUUCUGGAUGGACCCGCGGCGUAUUAGCUAGUUGGUGAGGUAAAGGCUCACCAAGGCAGUGAUACGUAGCCGACCUGAGAGGGUAAUCGGCCACAUUGGGACUGAGACACGGCCCAGACUCCUACGGGAGGCAGCAGUAGGGAAUCUUCCACAAUGGACGCAAGUCUGAUGGAGCAACGCCGCGUGAGUGAAGAAGGGUUUCGGCUCGUAAAGCUCUGUUGUUAAAGAAGAACGUGGGUAAGAGUAACUGUUUACCCAGUGACGGUAUUUAACCAGAAAGCCACGGCUAACUACGUGCCAGCAGCCGCGGUAAUACGUAGGUGGCAAGCGUUAUCCGGAUUUAUUGGGCGUAAAGCGAGCGCAGGCGGUCUUUUAAGUCUAAUGUGAAAGCCUUCGGCUCAACCGAAGAAGUGCAUUGGAAACUGGGAGACUUGAGUGCAGAAGAGGACAGUGGAACUCCAUGUGUAGCGGUGAAAUGCGUAGAUAUAUGGAAGAACACCAGUGGCGAAGGCGGCUGUC
RNAcentral lists this ribosomal RNA (621 nucleotides) under Pediococcus pentosaceus. RNAcentral's name for it is "bacterial SSU rRNA". It matches the Rfam family "Bacterial small subunit ribosomal RNA", at positions 121 to 729 of the family's 1533-position model. Lineage: Bacteria; Bacillati; Bacillota; Bacilli; Lactobacillales; Lactobacillaceae. The record is from RNAcentral.